AAAAUGCGAAACGUGAUGCGAUUUGCAUGAAUCUGUGAGUCAUCUAAUCUUUGAACGCGAAUGGCACUGUUAUGUAAGUAGCAGUAUGUCUGUUUGAGAAUCGCAAAACAAGAUCAACUCUAGUUGAGAGUUGGGAUUGGUCUUAUAUAACCUGUUUAUAUUUGACUUGAAUGAAUCGAGUUGAUGAGCUUCCCAGUGCGGCUCAAUGUGUGCUAGCGAGACAGUCGUCCCGAUCUCACAUUAUUGUCGCAUUGCAGAGUUCUGUGCACAGCUCGCUAAACCCUUUGUCAUCAUCAAAUACGAUCUCAAAUCAGGCAAGAUUACCCGCUGAACUUAA
RNAcentral lists this unclassified non-coding RNA (337 nucleotides) under uncultured Pezizomycotina. RNAcentral describes it as "sequence contains ITS1". The stretch from base 1 to 103 matches the Rfam family "5.8S ribosomal RNA", at positions 50 to 154 of the family's 154-position model. Lineage: Eukaryota; Fungi; Ascomycota. The record is from RNAcentral.